This 463-nucleotide ribosomal RNA is filed under the name uncultured bacterium. RNAcentral describes it as "bacterial SSU rRNA". It matches the Rfam family "Bacterial small subunit ribosomal RNA", at positions 30 to 507 of the family's 1533-position model. The record is from RNAcentral.
AUUGAACGCUGGCGGCAUGCCUAACACAUGCAAGUCGAACGGUAACGCGGAGAGCUUGCUCUCUGGCGACGAGUGGCGGACGGGUGAGUAAUACUUAGGAAUCUGCCUAUUAGUGGGGGACAACUCGAGGAAACUCGAGCUAAUACCGCAUACGCCCUACGGGGGAAAGCGGGGGAUCUUCGGACCUCGCGCUAAUGGAUGAGCCUAAGUCGGAUUAGCUUGUUGGUGAGGUAAAGGCUCACCAAGGCGACGAUCCGUAGCUGGUCUGAGAGGACGAUCAGCCACACUGGGACUGAGACACGGCCCAGACUCCUACGGGAGGCAGCAGUGGGGAAUAUUGGACAAUGGGCGCAAGCCUGAUCCAGCAAUGCCGCGUGUGUGAAGAAGGCCUGCGGGUUGUAAAGCACUUUCAGUAGGGAGGAUUAUGACGUUACCUACAGAAGAAGCACCGGCUAACUCUGUG